UGAAAUUAUUUACCUACUUGAUAGUUUCAAGAUAUAUACAUUUAUACUUUAAAUUGUAAAAGUACAUUAAACAAAUAGUUUGCAUUUUUCUUUGUUUCUAAAAUGCUUCAUUAAACAAGUCAGAUAUAUCAAAAUGAACCGACUUAAUACAUGCGCAUGUGUUUAACAUAAAGUAAUAUUUCAAUGCCCACUGUAGGGUGCUAUAUAGCAGUCGCACUGUCCGUCAGGCAUUCAAUUUUCUGGAACCUUUUUUACACAACGCUUUCAGAUAUUGAGCUGAUGUUUGGUGUGUGAGUCUUCUUACAUGACUUACAGAUGAAGUGUUAAUUUUGUUACGGUCCAUUGAUUUUGGGCAAAGUUAUGGGCAGAUAUUUAGCUGAUUUUUGGUAUGUGAGUCAACCUACAUUACUUACAAACAAAGUGUUAGUUUCGUUUAGGCCCAUUGAUGUUCAGCAAAGUUAUGGGUCUUGGACUUAAUAAAUUUCCCUAAAAUACAUGUAGCUGCUAUGCUUCUUCAAAGCUCAGUAGGGAGCAUUGUGUUUGAUCAACUUAGGUCUUGCUGGUCAUGAAACAGCUCUAUUAUUGGUCCAAAAGUGUGAUUAUCGAAAUGUGCCCCGCCAGGGAGUGGGCGGUUAUAUUAGCAAAAGUCCCGGGGAACAUUCACACUCCGCUUGUGAUGCCAUACAACAGAAAAAAACUGCAAACAGUUUAUAUGAAAACCGUUAAUUAAUUUCAAUUUCCAAAUUGGCCUUUCUAAGGGUUUCUUUUUUUCUAUAAAGUUAAAACUUAAAAAUCUUCUUCUGUGAAACAACAAUUAAGGCUUAGAGGUUGAUUUGUCAUGUAACAUUUUCUAAGUGGCCCUCAGUUAAGUUUGUUUAAAGUAUGAAAUUAUUUGAAAGUUAUAUAGACUUAUUGUUAAUAACUUCACAUUCUUCUUCUCUGAAAACCCAAGGGUCAAGGUCUAAAGAUUUGGUGGGUAAUAUUAUAUAGUUGUAUCCUUCUAAGUUUGUUCAAAUCAUAUCCCUGGGGUCCCAUGAUUUAUUUAGACUUUACUUACAUUGUCUCAGACGAUAUCAAAUCUGUAACUCACAGAUUAAACAACUUUUAUUGAAACAACAAUUUUAGCACAACCAUCACAGAAUGAACACAUAACUGUUCAGUUUGUAUGUGUCUCAUGUGAGCGAACUAGGACCUCAUGAAUCAUUGACAUAAAAAAUAAAAAAAGCUUUAAAGUAUUUUCAUUAGAAAGAAAUGCUGCUCGAUUUCAACCACGUAUGGCGAAUUUCAACAUUGACACCCGGGAUGCGCAUUUUGGCAACAGUUCUGCAAUGAAGGGUCUAGAUUUCAGCGAUUGCCCAAGCGAUCUUAGAAUUGCAGGAAUGUCAAAAGUGAAUUGUGUGAUAGCUGAUCUUGGUGACGGUGUUUGAAAGAUGAAAAUAUACGGAAAACAGACGAUUUUACACCUAUUUCCAUACACAACGUUAGCCAUCAUUGACAGACCCCCUGCCCAUCAGGCCCAUCCUAACUAGUGUCUGAAAAUGUACCACUACCAGUUGAUGAAGUGUAAGAAGAUGUCAGAUAGCAACUGCCUUGAACUGGAAAUAACACACAAACAUUGUCAGGGCCUGACAGUGGUGCAGAUAUAUUAAGCUUUUAUUUAUACCCUGAUAAAUACAGUUCCUGUACGAGAUGUUUGAUCAAAGACGAAAUGGCAGAAUUAGGCAAAUAUCUGUGCUUCUGCAACAACUGUGCAGGGUUUAGACAUGUAUAAACAUACUUCGCAAGCGUCUCACUCACAACUGCAGAAGAACCUGGCAAUGAAAUUCAUAGACUUGCUUACAUAUAAAGUUCAUCAAUUACGUUGUAUAUGUUAUUGUAAAACAUGCAAAUAACACAGCAAAGCAGUUAGAGGCAAAUCAAACAAUUUUUUUACCAAAACAACCAAUUAAAGGAACUGAUUUCCCCACCCCUCAAACAAGCAAUGACACAGAAACUAGUCUGUCAGCUAAAUUUCAGUCCGUCCCAAUUAAUCAAUGAACCCUUUCUCCCACAGAAGCAAAGUGAAAAUGGCUUUUGCAAACAGCAUGAAACCAGAACAGCCUGUGAGUUACUCGCAGUCUGUUCAGGUUUUAUGCCGUUUGCUGCUCAUCAGUGUAUAUGGGUUGGAAAUGAAGCCUUUAUAAGUUUAAUCUAGGAAGAAAGGUCUUUAAUCAAAUUUAACUCUCUAAGGUACUACAAAUUCGUCAAAAUACAUUUUCUUAGUGAUAAAAGGUUAAUAAAGUACAGAAAAAGCCAUACAGUAGACUUUUGAAUACCUCCACAGAUUUGUGUAUGAAAGGGACUAAGCUCGAAAUAAAUUAAUUGUUGAAAGUCUGUUGUAAAUGGCUGACACACAAUAAUUGUUUUUUGUCAAACAAUUAAAUAAAGGAUGUGAAAAUGCAAAAUGAAUUUAUUUGCAGAAGGAUUUACAUAAAAGAUGUUUGGUUAUAUGUCAAUGUUAAUAAUGUUUUCAUGAUUAUAAGGGCUUUACCAACCAAUAUUUCUUGAUUUAAUUUUAUACAUUUAGCAUAAUUAAACACUGUACCUAAAUAGUUUAAGUUAUCAACAACUUCAAUAUAAUUACUUCUCUUUUUUUACAGUGUUAACAUUUAGCCCCCAAUAAUUGCUGUAUACAUGUAAUUGUGAUUGAAUGCCAGCAGGUGACUGCUAGAAUAGCAUUAUAAUACAAUAUCAUUAGCAAAUAAUUGUGUAAUCAACUCAAUAUCAUCUAUUUUCAAACCAGAGUUGAUGUUUUCUUGUUUGUAAAGUUUAAGGUCUGCAAAAAAUAAAGAGAACAAAAUCGGCAACAUA
Long non-coding RNA from Dreissena polymorpha, 2850 nucleotides. RefSeq lists it as uncharacterized. The transcript is spliced from 4 exons. Lineage: Eukaryota; Metazoa; Mollusca; Bivalvia; Myida; Dreissenidae. The record is from RefSeq and is a predicted model, not a curated record.